Molecule: transfer RNA, 71 nt
Filed under: Cyanobacteria bacterium UBA11369
Lineage: Bacteria; Bacillati; Cyanobacteriota
Also listed under: 1 other name
Description: tRNA-OTHER
Rfam family: tRNA
About the family: Transfer RNA (tRNA) molecules are approximately 80 nucleotides in length.
Source: RNAcentral
GGCAGUGUAGCUUAAUGGUAAAGCAAAACAAUCCAGAAACGAUGACGGUUUGAUUCCGUCCACUGCCACCA